AUACGGGGGGUGCAAGCGUUAUUCGGAAUCAUUGGGCGUAAAGGGCACGCAGGCGGCCUGGUAAGUCAGAUGUGAAAGCCCGGGGCUUAACCCCGGAAGGGCAUUUGAAACUAUCAGGCUUGAGUAUGGGAGAGGGAAGUGGAAUUCCUGGUGUAGAGGUGAAAUUCGUAGAUAUCAGGAGGAACACCGGUGGCGAAGGCGACUUCCUGGACCAAUACUGACGCUGAGGUGCGAAGGCGUGGGGAGCAAACAGGAUUAGAAACCCCAGUAGUCC
Molecule: ribosomal RNA, 274 nt
Filed under: uncultured bacterium
Lineage: Bacteria
Description: partial 16S ribosomal RNA
Rfam family: Bacterial small subunit ribosomal RNA
Source: RNAcentral